GGCGAGGGCGGGGCCACCACCGAGCUUGAGCGUCCGCUUGCGAGUUUGCUGUCUGUACUUGCCGAGCGAGCGGACUCAGAGGACAGCAAGACAGACAGGUGGGACAGCAAGACAGACAGGCGGGCAGGCGGUCAAGCAGCCAGGCAGGCAGGCAGCCACGCGUGGCCCACGGCCGAGCGACGGUUGACGCGUGGAGAGCGAAACCCACGGCGACGUCACUCCAACGAGCGGACAAAGCAAAAGGGAACACGAGACUCCGGAAGAGUGUCUGUCUGUCCGUCCGUCCAGCGCACUUCCGGCAUGUCGCUGCCCGGCUCCCCCGCGCUUUACCGCUUGCCUGAGGAGAAAGUCCACGCUUCAGCGGCUCCCGGCGAAAGCUCCAGCCCCACGCAGCACUCGCACUCGCCGCGGCUCAGCGGCGGCACCGCGCUCGUUGGCUUCCUGCCCGCCGCGGGAUGCGCGCUGGCCGGCUUGGGCAACGGCGGCGUCACCCCGCUGGUGCCCGGGCUGCAGGGCGGGCUGGGUUCCCUGGGCUCGCCGACCUUGCCGGGGCCAGGGCCAGGGCCGUGUGGCGAGUGCAAGCUGGUGGAGGUGCACGGCGUCAAGGUGGCCAGCUUCAGCGCGCACGGCCAGGAGCUGAUCUGCCUGCCGCAGGUGUUCGACCUCUUCCUGAAGCACCUGGUGGGCGGCCUGCACACGGUCUACACCAAGCUCAAGAGGCUGGACAUCACGCCGGCGGUGUGCACCGUGGAGCAGGUCCGUGUGUUGCGGGGGCUCGGCGCCAUCCAGCCCGGGGUCAACCGAUGCAAGCUCAUCUCCAGGACGGACUUUGAGAUCCUCUACCAGGACUGCACCAGCGCCAGGUCAGUGAACAGCUCUCGUCCGGGUCGUCCUCCCAAGCGCUGUUCUUUGGGCGCCGGUGGCGACAGCCCGAGGCUUCUUCACCCGGGCCUGCUGUCCCCCAACCUGCUCUCUCACACCGGCCUUACAGCGGCCGCCAUGGCUGAACUCCAGAAGCUGCACAAGAUGAAGAUGAUGAUGAGGCUGCAGAACGGAAACGAAUCGGACAACGACGACCUGCACUCCAACGCAGGAGGGAGUGAGUGCUCCUGGGACAAGGAGCGCCCAAGCGACAGACCCGGAGAAGGAGCGGCGGCCGCGGCAGCGGCAGCGGCAGGGCGGGCCCUGGCUUUGGGAGCCCUCAGCCAGCAGCAGCUGGCCAACAGACUGGAGCUGCCCUUUGUGAUGAUGCCCCACCCGUUGCUGCCCGUGGGCCUGCCGCCCGCCUCGGUCGCCAUGGCCAUGUCGCAGAUGAACCAGCUCGGCACUAUCGCCAACAUGGCCGCCGCCGCUCAGCAGAUCCACCUGCGCCAGACGCCUGUCAUCAAGGAGCGCGCGUGCCGCAGUCCCUCGCCCUCUGCCGACGAGACGGACACUCCUCGGCGGUCGCGGACCAGUAGCUCCGCCUCCAGCUCACCGGAAAGACUCGGAAAACUUGAAAUCAAUGGCAUGCUUCCGAUUCCGACUCGGUCGGGUUCUCCUUCUUCGGGCCCGCUGUGGACGGACGCUGCGACGCCUGCGGAGAAUAUGGCAAAGGACAAAGAAGACCAAGCCUCGCCGGGACGAGCCCCGCCCGCCACCUUCCCCGCCCCGUUUCUUUUCGCCGAUAGCCUGUCGUCUGUGGAGACGCUCCUCACCAACAUACAGGGCCUCCUGAAGGUGGCGGUGGAGAACGCCCGCGUGCAGGACAAGCAGAUCCAGGCGGAGAAAAGGGAGCUGAAGAUGGAGCUGGACCGCGAACGAGAAAUGAGAGAGAGCCUGGAGCGCCAGCUGACCUCGGAACUGCAGAGCAGAGUGUCCUUCCAGAAACGUCUGAAGAAGGAGAAGAAGGCCAAGAGGAAGCUGCAGGAGGCACUGGAGUUUGAGUCCAAGCGCAGACGGCAGCCGGGGGGUGAGGACGCCAGGGAACUCUCGCCCGAGCCCGACGAUGCCGCCUCCCUUUGACCGGCAGGACCGACUCGACGGGAACCCCCGAGACAAGGUUGGCAAAACCAAACGCGUGUGUGCCGCCGUCCUGCCUGCCUGACGUUGACAAGCUUUGUUGUGGAAUCUCUGGCUUUCCUGAAGACCACCGUCACGUUCUAGAAAUGUGAUAUCAGCCCAACGCCACGGCAUUCUCCUCAACAAAUCUUUGCCUCGGACGGACGGACGGACGGACGGACGGACGGAGGUCGGGCGGGGCGAGGCGGGACGCAGCAAAACGUCACCUUGUUUUCUGUGCGCAUGCUGGCGCAAGUGGCGGAUUUGGAACAACGGGAGCGCACCUCAUGGGCUGGCCCACUCCGAUUGGACGGGAGUCAAGCCGACGCCACAAGGAGACUCUUGAACAAAAGAACUUUCUUUGUCUUGUGUCUCACUUCCUUCCUUUUCUGUGGUUUGACUCCUCCAGUUUUGUUUGGAGUGUUUUUGUGGGGGGAAAAAAGCAAAGUUUUUCCUCUCCCGCUCUUUGUGAAUUGGAGAAGAACGGCAGGCAGGCAGGCAGGCACAAAUUGGUGGCCCUUGCCUUUCCUCAGCCAGCGAUGGGUGUCUCCUCCUUCCUCGCUUAUAGUCGAUGUCCCCCUAAUGGAAAGCUGAGCGCGCGACGGACGGACGAACCGCAGUAUGAGAAGGGAUGGACGAGAAACGAUGGAGGGAACGAGGAAGGAUGGAGAGGGGACAACGUGGAGGACGUGAGUAACCACAACCGACAAACACUUUGAGGUAACGGCGGCCAUGGCCAGGCCUGAACCACUUCCAAACGGAAACAAAAAUCAAAUCACCAUUGUUUUUUUCCCCCUCAAUAUUGUGAUUGCCGUGUCAAGGUCCUAAUUCCAUGUUUUUUGAGGUCUUUUCUUUUUAUACAAGCACAGCAAUAAAUAAAGCCCGUUUACAAUUCA
RNA transcript from Syngnathus typhle (broad-nosed pipefish), 2936 nucleotides. It is a transcript of the gene named dachshund homolog 2-like, with no coding region annotated. The record is from RefSeq and is a predicted model, not a curated record. The transcript has 12 exons. Lineage: Eukaryota; Metazoa; Chordata; Actinopteri; Syngnathiformes; Syngnathidae.